UGGGAUAGCUCAGUCAGUAGAGCAUGAGACUCUUAAUCUCAGGAUCAUGGGUUCGAGUCCCAUGUUGGCAA
Podarcis lilfordi (Lilford's wall lizard) is the source of this 71-nucleotide non-coding RNA. The record is from the annotation of a GenBank genome assembly. NCBI's taxonomy places the organism in Eukaryota, Metazoa, Chordata, Lepidosauria, Squamata, Lacertidae.